CCCGGGCUGGUCUCAAACUCCUGGCCUCAAGCAGUCCUCCCGUCUCAGCCUCCCCAGUAGCUGGGAUUACAGGCACGUGCCACUGCACUGAAUAAGGACAUUCUUUACAUAAAUAAUGUAUUGGGCGGAUCAACUAAAUGUCUAUACUGAAGACAUUCUAUGGUAAAAUAAUUGAUACAAUACUAUUAUGUAAUAUACAAUCCAGUCAUAUUUUGGCAACUGUUUUUAAU
Molecule: long non-coding RNA, 230 nt
Filed under: Homo sapiens (human)
Lineage: Eukaryota; Metazoa; Chordata; Mammalia; Primates; Hominidae
Description: HSALNT0081958
Source: RNAcentral